Molecule: transfer RNA, 73 nt
Filed under: Alosa alosa (allis shad)
Lineage: Eukaryota; Metazoa; Chordata; Actinopteri; Clupeiformes; Clupeidae
Description: tRNA-Phe
Rfam family: tRNA
About the family: Transfer RNA (tRNA) molecules are approximately 80 nucleotides in length. Their secondary structure includes four short double-helical elements and three loops (D, anti-codon, and T loops). Further hydrogen bonds mediate the characteristic L-shaped molecular structure. tRNAs have two regions of fundamental functional importance: the anti-codon, which is responsible for specific mRNA codon recognition, and the 3' end, to which the tRNAs corresponding amino acid is attached (by aminoacyl-tRNA synthetases). tRNAs cope with the degeneracy of the genetic code in two manners: having more than one tRNA (with a specific anti-codon) for a particular amino acid; and 'wobble' base-pairing, i.e. permitting non-standard base-pairing at the 3rd anti-codon position.
Source: RNAcentral
GCCGAAAUAGCUCAGUUGGGAGAGCGUUAGAUUGAAGAUCUAAAGACACCUGGUUCGAAUCUGGGUUCCGGCA